RNAcentral lists this long non-coding RNA (1112 nucleotides) under Homo sapiens (human). RNAcentral's name for it is "non-protein coding lnc-ACR-2:1". The record is from RNAcentral. Lineage: Eukaryota; Metazoa; Chordata; Mammalia; Primates; Hominidae.
GCGAGACUCCGUGGGCGUAGGACCCUCCGAGCCACAUGCAGGAUAUAAUCUCCCGGUGUGCCGUUUUUUAAGCCCGUUGGAAAAGCGCAGUAUUAGGGUGGGAGUGACCCGAUUUUCCAGGUGCCGUCUGUCGCCCCUUUCUUUGACUCGGAAAGGGAACUCCCUGACCCCUUGCGCUUCCCGAGUGAGGCAAUGCCUCGCCCUGCUUCAGCUCGUGCACGGUGCGCUGCACCCACUGUCCUGCGCCCCCUGUCUGGCACUCCCUAGUGAGAUGAACCCUCAGAUGGAAAUGCAGAAAUCACCCGUCUUCUGCGUCGCUCACGCUGGGAGCUGUAGACCGGAGCUGUUCCUAUUGGGCCAUCUUGGCUCCACCACCCUGAGAUAGGGUCUCACUCUGUCGCCCAGGCUGGAGUGCGGUGGCGCGAUCACGGCUCACUGCAGCCUCCAACUCCUGGACUCAAGCGAUCCUCCCUCCUCGGCAUCCCUGGACUAUAGGCGUGAGCCACCGCUUACGGGCGAAGACUUGCUUGUCCGUGUCCUUGCCAUCUAAGUGGAGAGCCUACGACUAGAUUUGCAUCUUUACGUCCUGCGCGGAGGCUGCUACACACAUGCAGAAGUCAUGCUGGUGGCCUGGACAGUGAAGGGAGAGAAGUGGAUUUGGGAGACAUUUAGGAGGAACAGUAAGAGGACCUUGUGCAUGAAUAAUUUGUUUCCACACUACAGAGUGGGUAAUAAGCAGAUUAGUAAAAACAAUUCUGCUUCACUUCAAUAACAGCCUCCUCCAACUCAUUUUUUCUCAACAAACUUAUUUUUCCAGCAGAAGAAUCCCAGACUUCUUAGAGAACCCAGUGACUUUUUGCACCUUAAAUCUGUGAAAUCCUCAUGUUUUCUUCUGCCGUAUCCAUAGUUCAAACAAAGAUGAGGCAAAGCUAGAUGCAUUCCUGAAGGAACCCAAGAAAUUCCUCUCUUUAUUUCUCUGGAAUGAAAUGAAUUCUCUAGACCACCAGUUCUAACCUUCAAAAACCAAACCUGUUUGUGAGAUCUCCUUCAAAUACUACUGUAGACCCCAGUGUUUAUUCAUUAAAUUUUUAAAAUAUUUGUUUUAUUUGGAA